Carya illinoinensis is the source of this 4480-nucleotide RNA transcript. RefSeq lists it as uncharacterized. The record is from RefSeq and is a predicted model, not a curated record. The transcript has 6 exons. NCBI's taxonomy places the organism in Eukaryota, Viridiplantae, Streptophyta, Magnoliopsida, Fagales, Juglandaceae.
UAAUAGAUAAGCUAGUGAGAAUUGUACCUUUUGCUUGCUGGCCAUCCCAGCCUCGCAGGUCCAUUCCUCGGCCGAGAAUACAACUCUAAAAAGGAAUAUAUAUUUGAUUUCUGCAGAUCGAGCGACACCGCUCGAAAAGAAGAGAAAAUCCCAUAUAGAGGCAGACGCAGAGAGCGAGGUGGGGAUCAAACCCAUCACAGAAGAAAACCAGCUAGCGUCGUCGAACCCCCAUCGUGCCGUCGAAGAAUCUGAGCUGGUGGUCGAUUUCUGAAAGAGAGAGUGCCGUCGUGGUUCAUUUCCUCUCAACAUGGGAAAAGGGGAAGAACAACCAUCUCCACUAACACCAUCUACCUCAAAUUCUCCAACUGCAAAUGCUAGUUACCCUACUCCUCUCAUGACUACAUGCUCCGCAACGAGUGGAAACGUUGAUAUAGAGGAAACACCCGAUUGUAGGGAAACUGGUAUGCCAUGUACCUCAUCUAAAGUUGAAGAAAGCAAAGAAGAUAGACUAGAUUCAUGGGAAACCGAGGAUAGCAUUGCUGGGACACCUCAGUUAGAGGAUGAAGUUGGUGGUGAUAUGAUUGAGGAGCCAAAAUCGAGGAUGGAGUUUUAUUCUUUUGAAGAAUUAAUGAGUUAUUAUAAGCAAUAUGCUAAGAAUUGCUGGUUUGAGGUGAUGACAAGAAGGACUGAGAGAGGAGAUGAUGAGACUGUUAGAUAUGUCACUCUUGGUUGCCCGUGGUGGGAAGGCCCGGAAUAGGACGUUGAAUGUCUCCAGACCACGUUUGACAGGAAAGACAGAAUGUAAGGAGAUUAAUGCCUUAAGAGUUGAUGGAAAGUUUUGACAACAGUUCGUAAUAUCCAUAACCAUAGUCUUAGUCUAAAUAAAUCUCGUUUCUUUCAAUGUAAUAGAAAAACGAGUGACUCCAUAAAUAGAGUCAUAGAUACGAAUGAUUUGGUUGGCAUCCAAAUGAAUAAGAGUUUUGGAUCUCUCGUCGUUGGUGCUGGUGGAUUAGAGAACCUCUCGUUUUUGGAAAAUGAUUGUCAUAAUUAUAUCGACAAGGAAAAACAUCUACGACUUGGGAAAGGUGGUGCUAGAGCGCUUUGAGAAUAUUUUUGUAGGAUGCAAUACAAAAAUCUCGAUUUCUUUGCAUUGAUGGAUUUGGAUGAUGAUGGGAGGCUAAAAAUUGUCUUUUGGGCAGACCCCGUAGUAGGGCAGCAUAUCAGUAUUUCGGUGACGUGGUCACAUUUGACACCACGUAUUUGACGAAUAGAUAUGAGAUGCUCUUUACUCUAUUUAUUGGUGUAAACCACUACAGCCAGUCAAUUUUGUUGGGAGUGGGAUUGAUAUUCAAUAAGGAUACGGAAACGUUUGUGUGGUUAUUUCAGACCUGGUUGCAGUGUAUGGAUAAUAUAGCUCCAAAAGCUAUUAUCACAUAUCAGGAUAGAGCGAUGAAAAAUGCAAUUGCUAUUGUCUUUCAAAAAAUCUGACAUCAAUUUUGUUUGUGGCAUAUACUGAAGAAAGUCCCCGAAAAGCUUGUCUCUCAUGCUUCCUACGAAAGCGGGAUGAAAAAUGCAUUGAUGAAAUGUGUGUAUGACACCCAAAGUGUUGAAGAGUUUGAGAAAUGUUGGGAUCAGUUAAUCACCACUUACAACUUGCAUGAGAAUGCCUAACUGCAAAGUUUAUAUGCUGAGUGUGAGCAUUGGGUACCUGCAUUCUUGAAGAAGUUUUUUUGGGCUAGAAUGAGUACAACACGGCGGAGUGAGAGCAUUACUGUUUUUUUUUAUGGUUAUGUUCAUGCUAAUAAGACAAACUUUAAAGAGUUCGUCGACCAAUUCGACAAUGUGCUGAAAAAGAAAAUUGAAAAUGAAAAUAGCAUGGACUUCUACUCAUUUAGCGUCACCAUUCCCUGCAUAUCUAGAUCUCUAAUUGAAAAGAAAUUUCAAGAUUUGUACACAAAUGCUAAAUUCAGGGAAGUUCAGCAGCAACUUACUAGCAUUAUUGAUCUGGAUCUAGAGUUACGUUAGACAGAUGGUGUAGUUAAGACCUAUUUGAUAGAGGAUGAAGUUUGUGUGGAAGAGUUCACUAAGCUAGUUACACAUUCAGUGGACUUUAGUGAGGAAGAUGCAGCUGCAAAUUGUUCAUGUGGUUUAUUUUAGAUGAGAGGUAUAUUGCGUAGGUAUAUUUUGGCCGUAUUAAAAUGUAACGGUAUAAAAUCUAUGCCAAAGAGGUAUAUUCUAGAUCAAUGGAAGAAGGACAUUAAGAGGAGAUACACGUUAAUCCAUUGUAGCUAUGACGCAGGGGAUCAACGGGCAGAUGCUAACAGAUAUUCAAGUCUAUUGAAUAUUUGUUGUCAGAUGAUUACUCAUGCAGCGGGUUUGAAAAAAGCAUACCGAGGAUGCAACACAUAAGUUGUAUGCAAUGAUUGACUUAUAUCGUGACAACCAUAAACCCCAUCAAUGACCCUUACAGGUUCCAAUGUUGGUCGUACAACACAAGUAGGUGGUAGUUCAUAGCAAGUACUCAAUCCACUAGUUGUGAGAGGGAAAGACAGACCUCCAUCUCUGAGAAGAGCAUCCAGGAUGAAGAAAGACAUGUGGAAAGUUAAAGCGAAGACGACAAAAGCACCAGUCAAGGGAAAACGUAAACAGAGAGAUGGAGGAGAUACACCAGUGCUGGACACGUGCAGGAAUUUAUUUGGCCCAUAAAAGAUAAAUAUGUCCAAUGUUGGACACGUGCAGCUUAUGCAGCACAAGGAAGAGGGAGGAACAAGUUGUAAUGUCUCAGUUGCAAAAAAUUUGGUCAUAUUGCUCCUAACUGUCCUAAGAAAGUUUGUAACUACUGCAAGAAAGAGGGUCAUAUCAUUAAAGACUGUCGCGUACGGCCUCAGAAUUGCCAAUCCCAAGCUUUUCAGAUUGCUGUUCAGUUCUCUUCUUCUUCGGAGCCACCUAAUUCAUCUGUUCUCAUACUAGCAAUGGUCCAACAGAUGAUUGUGUAUGCUUUUACGGCCUUAGGCCUAUAAGGAUCAAGUGUCGGGGACGGUGAUCGUGAAGGGGCCUAAAAUAGGACGUUUCUUUCCCUUACAGUUUUUUAUUCCUAAUGUUGUUUCUUUUGCUUGUACGGCUACUACCAAUACUAAUGAAGUCUGACAUAAGAAAUUAGGUCAUCCUAAUUCUGUUGUCUUGAUUCAUCUUAUGAAACAUGAUUUUUUGGGCAAUAAAGAUUUUUUUGCUCCUGUAUCUUUUGAUUGUGCUACUUGUCGUCUUGGUAAAAGUAAAACCUUACAUUUUUCUGCGCAUGGUAGUCGUGCUUCUAACUGUUUUGAGAUUGUGCAUAUUGACGUUUGGGGUGUAAGUCCUAUUAUUUCUCAUGGUCAAUAUGGUUAUGACGUUUAUUGAUGAUUAUAGUCGAUUCACUUGGAUGCAUUUUCUCUGUUCUAAAGCUGACGUGUUUUCUGUCUUUCAAAAAUUUGUUGCGCUUGUUGAGACACAGUUCAACACUUUUAUCAAAACUUUAUGCUCCGACUCAGGGGGGAGUACAUGUCAUUCUUUUCAAACGUUUCUUCAGCAAAAGAGGAUCAUUUCUCAAUGUUCUUGUCCUUAUAUUCCUCAACAAAAUGGAGUCGCUGAGCGUAAGAAUCGUCAUCUCUUAGAUGUAGUCUGUACUUUGUUGAUUGAUUCUUCUGUACCUUCGAAGUUCUGGGUAGAAGCUUUAUCUACUGCUAUCUAUUUGAUCAAUCGUUUGCCUACUGACACACUAGAUUAUGAUUCUCCUUAUUUUCGAUUAUUUAGCAUAUCUCUUGAGUAUCAAUCUUUUCAUACCUUUGGGUGUGUUUAUUUUGUUCAUCUGCCACCCUGUUGAGUGUCACAAGCUUGCUGCACAGUCUGUUACGUGUGCCUUUAUGGGAUAAAGUCCUACUUAGAAAGGAUUGUUUGUUAUGAUGCUCAUGCAAAUAAAUUCUGAAUCUCACAGAAUGUGAUUUUUUUCAAAAAUCAAUAUUUAUUUCAGUCUCAUGUUAUUUCAGAUCCUCCUAUUACUCUUCUUCCCACUUUUGAUGACGUGUUUUCCUUUAUUAAGCAAUUUCAAUCAGGUAUGGUGUAUCAUCGUCGUCUUCCUCCUUCAAUGCCCAUUCCAGACACUGAUCCAUCAUCGGAUUUUGCUGUUCCUAUACCUCGGCACUCCACCUUGGUUACACAUCUACCAGAUAGGUAUGGUUUUCCUCACAUCUCGCUUACUACCACUCUCAACACUAUUUCUGUUCACUCUUAUACUCAGGCAUCCACCCAAGCAUGUUGGCAGCAAGCCAUGCAAGAGGAAAUCCAACUCUUCAAGACAAUCACACUUAGGACAUUGUAAUUUGUCCAUUUAAUGUCAAACCUAUUAGUUAUAAAUGGGUAUACUUAGUCAAGUUUCGAGCUGUUGGCUCUAGGGGUGAGAAUUGGCCGGUCCGGACCGGCCAAACCGACCGGACCGGAUUCGGUC